Molecule: ribosomal RNA, 851 nt
Filed under: uncultured bacterium
Lineage: Bacteria
Description: bacterial SSU rRNA
Rfam family: Bacterial small subunit ribosomal RNA
Source: RNAcentral
GCUUAUCUGCAGUCGAGGGGGCAGCGCAGUGUAGCAAUACAUGGGCGGCGACCGGCAAACGGGUGCGGAACACGUACGCAACCUUCCUUCAAGCGGGGAAUAGCUUUCGGAAACGAAAAUUAAUACCCCAUAGUAAUAUCUGAGGGCAUCUGAGGAUAUUUAAAGAUUUAUCACUUGAAGAUGGGCGUGCGCCUGAUUAGGUAGUUGGCGGGGUAACGGCCCACCAAGCCUACGAUCAGUAACUGGUGUGAGAGCACGACCAGUCACACGGGCACUGAGACACGGGCCCGACUCCUACGGGAGGCAGCAGUAAGGAAUAUUGGUCAAUGGACGCAAGUCUGAACCAGCCAUGCCGCGUGGAGGAUGAAGGUCCUCUGGAUUGUAAACUUCUUUUAUCGGAGAAGAAACCCCCGAGUUCUCUUGGGGUUGACGGUACCCGAUGAAUAAGCACCGGCUAACUCCGUGCCAGCAGCCGCGGUAAUACGGAGGGUGCAAGCGUUAUCCGGAUUCACUGGGUUUAAAGGGAGCGUAGGUGGGCUGGUAAGUCAGUGGUGAAAUCUCCGGGCUUAACUCGGAAACUGCCGUUGAUACUAUCAGUCUUGAAUGUUGUGGAGGUAAGCGGAAUAUGUCAUGUAGCGGUGAAAUGCUUAGAUAUGACAUAGAACACCGAUAGCGAAGGCAGCUUGCUACACAAUUAUUGACACUGAGGCUCGAAAGCGUGGGGAUCAAACAGGAUUAGAUACCCUGGUAGUCCACGCCCUAAACGAUGGAUACUCGACAUACGCGAUACACAGUGUGUGUCUGAGCGAAAGCAUUAAGUAUCCCACCUGGGAAGUACGACCGCAAGGUUG